AUUGAACGCUGGCGGCAGGCCUAACACAAGCAAGUCGAACGGUAGCACAGAGAGCUUGCUCUCGGGUGACGAGUGGCGGACGGGUGAGUAAUGUCUGGGAAACUGCCUGAUGGAGGGGGAUAACUACUGGAAACGGUAGCUAAUACCGCAUAACGUCGCAAGACCAAAGAGGGGGACCUUCGGGCCUCUUGCCAUCAGAUGUGCCCAGAUGGGAUUAGCUAGUAGGCGGGGUAAUGGCCCACCUAGGCGACGAUCCCUAGCUGGUCUGAGAGGAUGACCAGCCACACUGGAACUGAGACACGGUCCAGACUCCUACGGGAGGCAGCAGUGGGGAAUAUUGCACAAUGGGCGCAAGCCUGAUGCAGCCAUGCCGCGUGUGUGAAGAAGGCCUUCGGGUUGUAAAGCACUUUCAGCGGGGAGGAAGGCGGUACGGUUAAUAACCGUGCUGAUUGACGUUACCCGCAGAAGAAGCACCGGCUAACUCCGUGCCAGCAGCCGCAGUAA
RNAcentral lists this ribosomal RNA (504 nucleotides) under uncultured bacterium. RNAcentral's name for it is "partial 16S ribosomal RNA". It matches the Rfam family "Bacterial small subunit ribosomal RNA", at positions 29 to 523 of the family's 1533-position model. The record is from RNAcentral.